AAAGGAGUAGGUCCGGUAAGGACCGAUUUUUGCCUCAAAUUUCAAGUUCAUCUGACGAAAGAUUUUGACCACUUUUUAAACACUUGAGUGUCUAUUUCAUUUGAAUCAAUUAGUUUAUGUGAACGAUUUUAACUGAUUUAAUCAUUAAAAACGAUCCGAUGCAAGCUCCAAUAUGAAAAAUCUACCAAAUAUGCCGAAAAAUGUCACUAUUCAGAAGGUUUUUGUCAAAAACGAAAGUGGCCGCAUCCGUGUUCAUCCUCAACCUUUAUAUAUGUUAUGUAUUAUCAUAAAAUACCACUUAUAUUUCAAUAUUAAGGAUGAACACGAAUGCGGCCACUUUCGUUUUACACGAAAACCGUCUAAAAUUUAACUAAAAUGCUAAAAUUUUGAAGAUUUCAGUAAUUUAGCAUGACUUAAUGGUCCUAGUACCCGAUAUAUGUGCAUUGUAUUGUCAAAAACAGCCCAUAUUUAUGUAGCAGAAGCAUUUUACUGUCCAAUAAAUAACUAAAAGUUUAUAUUUUAACGAUUUUGUAAAACUGCUAUAUUUUGGGGCCAAAAAGUGGUCUUACUGGACCUACUCCUUU
RNAcentral lists this long non-coding RNA (584 nucleotides) under Mytilus galloprovincialis (Mediterranean mussel). Lineage: Eukaryota; Metazoa; Mollusca; Bivalvia; Mytilida; Mytilidae. The record is from RNAcentral.